ACUACGUUCUGAUCUUCUGGAGGAUCUACUACAUCUCUGAUCUUGCACUUGAAGAAAAUUCAUCAAAUCAACAUAAAUCAAGAUGCAAACCAGCCUCCUUGUACGAGUAAGAAGGGGAUGG
Long non-coding RNA from Octopus sinensis (East Asian common octopus), 121 nucleotides. RefSeq lists it as uncharacterized. NCBI's taxonomy places the organism in Eukaryota, Metazoa, Mollusca, Cephalopoda, Octopoda, Octopodidae. The record is from RefSeq and is a predicted model, not a curated record. The transcript has 4 exons.